This is a long non-coding RNA of Rhododendron vialii, 684 nucleotides long. RefSeq lists it as uncharacterized. Lineage: Eukaryota; Viridiplantae; Streptophyta; Magnoliopsida; Ericales; Ericaceae. The record is from RefSeq and is a predicted model, not a curated record. The transcript is spliced from 3 exons.
GUCUCACUCGUACACCCACUCACCCUCUCUCUCUCUCCAACUUUACCCUCUCAACAGCCAUCUGCAACCCCAUCUCUCUCUCUCCUUCAAAAUCCAACACCCACUCUCUCUCUCUCUCUCUCUCUCUCUCUCCACCCCCGGAGCCACCACACCCACGACGGAAUAGCACCAACGUAGCCGCACCACCAAUGUCUCCUCCUCUAGCCCACAGACACCCACCCCCACCCCAAACGACGCCAAUGCCCAUGAAACCGGUGCCUGUCCGACCUCCACCAUUGCCGCCAUCCAACCGACUCCUUCUUGAAACCGGGUUCAGAGAGCUCACCUUUGUGGACAUAAGAUAGAUCUGCUGAGAGUCCUGCUGGCCCUUCGACCGGAGUGGUCGUACGUGACCCCGUUCGAGCGACGAUGGGCCGAACCCGGCUGUGCCGAUCGCGUACAAGGAGGAGUUCCCAGAGACGGUGGAUUACUUCCGAGCUGUUUCGUUGGAGACGAUGGCUUCUGGUUAUAACAGCUGGCCAUUAUCCGUUUACUCCACUGAUGCAGAAGCUGGUUACAAGCAUUUAUUGGUGUAUUGCAAGCGCAAGCCCAUGCACAAUCUAAGUAAUGCAGCUCUGCUUUGUGAGAUCUUGAAGAGAAUGGUGGAGUACAUGAAAUGACAGCUACAGGUCUGCCAGAAUUAAG